GACGAACGCUGGCGGCGUGCUUAACACAUGCAAGUCGAACCAAGUGGCGAACGGGUGAGUAACGCGUAAUCAACCUGCCCUUCAGAGGGGGACAACAGUUGGAAACGACUCUUAAUACCGCAUACUGAUGGCGUGGCUUGCGUCUGAAUGGCUAGUUGGAGGGGUAACGGCCCACCAAGGCAAUGAUAAGUAGACGGUCUGGAAGGAUGAACGGGCACAUUGGGACAGAGACACGGCCCAGACUCCUACGGGAAGCCGCAGUGGGGAAUCUUCCGCAAUGGACGAAAAUCUGACGGAACAACGCGGCGUGAGUGAUGACGGGCUUCGGGUCGUGAAGCUCUGUUAAUCGAGACGCGGUACCGGAAUAGAAAGCCACGGCUAACUACGUGCCAGCAGCCGCGGUAAUAC
This 408-nucleotide ribosomal RNA is filed under the name uncultured bacterium. RNAcentral describes it as "partial 16S ribosomal RNA". It matches the Rfam family "Bacterial small subunit ribosomal RNA", at positions 28 to 526 of the family's 1533-position model. The record is from RNAcentral.